AAGAAUUCUCGAUGAUUGUAUUAAAAUGGCCAACUCUUGUGUAUGAAAAAAAUUUCAGUUGAAAUAGAAAAAUUCACUUUGUGUGUCCAUACAUUUUCAUGGAUAUUGAUCACUAGAAACCACAUUAGAAACUUCCUAAGAUAAUACAUUAACCCAACAAAUGAGUCGCUUUCUCAUCCACCUCAUGUGACUGCAUGUUUUGCAUGGGUGAUAAAUUGACAAAUAUAAUAGCUGUUAUAAUCAACCAUUAGAGAUUUUCA
RNAcentral lists this long non-coding RNA (260 nucleotides) under Medicago truncatula (barrel medic). RNAcentral describes it as "long non-coding RNA (MTRU_LNC007387)". Lineage: Eukaryota; Viridiplantae; Streptophyta; Magnoliopsida; Fabales; Fabaceae. The record is from RNAcentral.